RNAcentral lists this ribosomal RNA (600 nucleotides) under Bacillus tequilensis. RNAcentral describes it as "bacterial SSU rRNA". It matches the Rfam family "Bacterial small subunit ribosomal RNA", at positions 36 to 618 of the family's 1533-position model. Lineage: Bacteria; Bacillati; Bacillota; Bacilli; Caryophanales; Bacillaceae. The record is from RNAcentral.
CAUAACGGCGAGCGUAUACAUGCAAGUCGAGCGGACAGAUGGGAGCUUGCUCCCUGAUGUUAGCGGCGGACGGGUGAGUAACACGUGGGUAACCUGCCUGUAAGACUGGGAUAACUCCGGGAAACCGGGGCUAAUACCGGAUGCUUGUUUGAACCGCAUGGUUCAAACAUAAAAGGUGGCUUCGGCUACCACUUACAGAUGGACCCGCGGCGCAUUAGCUAGUUGGUGAGGUAAUGGCUCACCAAGGCAACGAUGCGUAGCCGACCUGAGAGGGUGAUCGGCCACACUGGGACUGAGACACGGCCCAGACUCCUACGGGAGGCAGCAGUAGGGAAUCUUCCGCAAUGGACGAAAGUCUGACGGAGCAACGCCGCGUGAGUGAUGAAGGUUUUCGGAUCGUAAAGCUCUGUUGUUAGGGAAGAACAAGUGCCGUUCAAAUAGGGCGGCACCUUGACGGUACCUAACCAGAAAGCCACGGCUAACUACGUGCCAGCAGCCGCGGUAAUACGUAGGUGGCAAGCGUUGUCCGGAAUUAUUGGGCGUAAAGGGCUCGCAGGCGGUUUCUUAAGUCUGAUGUGAAAGCCCCCGGCUCAACCGGGG